RNAcentral lists this ribosomal RNA (463 nucleotides) under uncultured bacterium. Its description in RNAcentral is "bacterial SSU rRNA". It matches the Rfam family "Bacterial small subunit ribosomal RNA", at positions 1 to 507 of the family's 1533-position model. The record is from RNAcentral.
AGACGUCUACGAGUUUGAUCCUGGCUACAGAACGAACGCUGGCGGCAGGCCUAACACAUGCAAGUCGAGCGAACCCUUCGGGGUUAGCGGCGGACGGGUUAGUAACGCGUGGGAAUAUACCCUUUGGUACGGAAUAGCCUCGGGAAACUGAGAGUAAUACCGUAUGUGCCCUUCGGGGGAAAGAUUUAUCGCCAAAGGAUUAGCCCGCGUCGGAUUAGAUAGUUGGUGGGGUAAUGGCCUACCAAGUCUACGAUCCAUAGCUGGUUUGAGAGGAUGAUCAGCAACACUGGGACUGAGACACGGCCCAGACUCCUACGGGAGGCAGCAGUGGGGAAUCUUAGACAAUGGGCGCAAGCCUGAUCUAGCCAUGCCGCGUGGACGAUGAAGGCCUUAGGGUUGUAAAGUCCUUUCAGAUGGGAAGAUAAUGACGGUACCAUCAGAAUAAGCACCGGCUAACUACGUG